This 406-nucleotide ribosomal RNA is filed under the name uncultured bacterium. Its description in RNAcentral is "partial 16S ribosomal RNA". It matches the Rfam family "Bacterial small subunit ribosomal RNA", at positions 28 to 526 of the family's 1533-position model. The record is from RNAcentral.
GACGAACGCUGGCGGCGUGCCUAAUACAUGCAAGUAGAACGAGUUGCGAACGGGUGAGUAACGCGUGGUAACCUGCCUCAUAGCGGGGAAUAACUAUUGGAAACGCUAGCUAAUACCGCAUACUUUGAGUUGGACCUGUGUUGUAUUAGCUAGUUGGUGAGGUAAAGGCUCACCAAGGCGACGAUCCCUAGCUGGUCUGCGAGGAUGACCAGCCACACUGGAACUGAGACACGGUCCAGACUCCUACGGGAGGCAGCAGUGGGGAAUAUUGCACAAUGGGCGCAAGCCUGAUGCAGCAAUGCCGCGUGUAUGAAGAAGGCCUUCGGGUUGUAAAGUACUGUCAGCGAGGAGGCGUUACUCGAAGAAGAAGCACCGGCUAACUCCGUGCCAGCAGCCGCGGUAAUAC